GCUGGCGGUAUGCCUAACACAUGCAAGUCGUACGAGAGUUUUUAACUCUAGUGGCGGACGGGUGAGUAACACGUGAGAAUUUGCCUUUAGGAGGGGGAUAACAAUUGGAAACGAAUGCUAAUACCCCAUAUGCUUUCGAGUGAAAUGGAUUUAUAUUUAUCCGCCUAGAGAGAAGCUCGCGGCUGAUUAGCUUGUUGGUAAGGUAAGAGCUUACCAAGGCGACGAUCAGUAUCUGGUUUGAGAGGACGAUCAGACACACUGGAACUGAGACACGGUCCAGACUCCUACGGGAGGCAGCAGUGGGGAAUUUUCCGCAAUGGGCGAAAGCCUGACGGAGCAAUACCGCGUGAGGGAAGACUGCCUAUGGGUUGUAAACCUCUUUUUUCAGGGAGGAAUCAAUGACGUGUACCUGAAGAAUAAGCAUCGGCUAACUCCGUGCCAGCAGCCGCGGUAAGACGGAGGAUGCAAGUGUUAUCCGGAAUCACUGGGCGUAAAGCGUCUGUAGGUGGUUUAAUAAGUCAACUGUUAAAUCUUGAGGCUCAACUUCAAAAUCGCAGUCGAAACUAUUAGACUAGAGUAUAGUAGAG
Molecule: ribosomal RNA, 587 nt
Filed under: uncultured cyanobacterium
Lineage: Bacteria; Bacillati; Cyanobacteriota
Description: bacterial SSU rRNA
Rfam family: Bacterial small subunit ribosomal RNA
Source: RNAcentral